CUCGGCCCUCUCUCUAACCACAAAAACCUUAUCAUACCAAGUACCAACACACAGUCUCUCUCACCUAACAGAGCAUUUACACUACCCUUAUGACGCAACAAGCAUUCAUGACCACCACUAAAAUCUUGAAGGCAAGGCAGAGAGAGAAAGAAGAUUACUAAAAAAGCCUUACGGUAAGGAGAAAGAGAGAAAAAGAGAAGGAAAUGGUGGUCACACACACACACACACCAAUCAUCAUCACUCAUUCUUGUAUAGCUUUUUCUACCUUCAAAAGUCAAUCAGUCUUCUUCCUCCUAUCUCCCAAAGUUUCCUAU
Molecule: long non-coding RNA, 314 nt
Organism: Arabidopsis thaliana (thale cress)
Lineage: Eukaryota; Viridiplantae; Streptophyta; Magnoliopsida; Brassicales; Brassicaceae
Product: other RNA
Exons: 1
Source: RefSeq